Molecule: ribosomal RNA, 1287 nt
Filed under: metagenome
Description: bacterial SSU rRNA
Rfam family: Bacterial small subunit ribosomal RNA
Source: RNAcentral
UAGCUAGUUGGUGAGGUAAAGGCUCACCAAGGCGACGAUCUGUAGCGGGUCUGAGAGGAUGAUCCGCCACACUGGAACUGAGACACGGUCCAGACUCCUACGGGAGGCAGCAGUGGGGAAUUUUGGACAAUGGGGGCAACCCUGAUCCAGCCAUGCCGCGUGAGUGAAGAAGGCCUUCGGGUUGUAAAGCUCUUUCGGCCGGGAAGAAAUCGCAUGGGCCAAUACCCUGUGCGGAUGACGGUACCGGCAUAAGAAGCACCGGCUAACUACGUGCCAGCAGCCGCGGUAAUACGUAGGGUGCGAGCGUUAAUCGGAAUUACUGGGCGUAAAGCGUGCGCAGGCGGUUUUGUAAGACAGGCGUGAAAUCCCCGGGCUCAACCUGGGAACUGCGUUUGUGACUGCAAGGCUAGAGUACGGCAGAGGGGGGUGGAAUUCCACGUGUAGCAGUGAAAUGCGUAGGGAUGUGGAGGAACACCAAUGGCGAAGGCAGCCCCCUGGGUCGAUACUGACGCUCAUGCACGAAAGCGUGGGUAGCAAACAGGAUUAGAUACCCUGGUAGUCCACGCCCUAAACGAUGUCAACUAGGUGUUGGGUGGGUAAAACCAUUUAGUACCGGAGCUAACGCGUGAAGUUGACCGCCUGGGGAGUACGGCCGCAAGGUUAAAACUCAAAGGAAUUGACGGGGACCCGCACAAGCGGUGGAUGAUGUGGAUUAAUUCGAUGCAACGCGAAAAACCUUACCUACCCUUGACAUGUCCAGAAGCCUGAAGAGAUUUGGGUGUGCCCGAAAGGGAACUGGAACACAGGUGCUGCAUGGCUGUCGUCAGCUCGUGUCGUGAGAUGUUGGGUUAAGUCCCGCAACGAGCGCAACCCUUGUCGUUAAUUGCCAUCAUUCAGUUGGGCACUUUAACGAGACUGCCGGUGACAAACCGGAGGAAGGUGGGGAUGACGUCAAGUCCUCAUGGCCCUUAUGGGUAGGGCUUCACACGUCAUACAAUGGUCGGUACAAAGGGUUGCCAAGCCGCGAGGUGGAGCCAAUCCCUGAAAGCCGAUCGUAGUCCGGAUCGUAGGCUGCAACUCGCCUGCGUGAAGUCGGAAUCGCUAGUAAUCGUGGAUCAGCAUGUCACGGUGAAUACGUUCCCGGGUCUUGUACACACCGCCCGUCACACCAUGGGAGCGGGUUCCGCCAGAAGUAGGUAGCCUAACCGCAAGGGGGGCGCUUACCACGGCGGGGUUCGUGACUGGGGUGAAGUCGUAACAAGGUAGCCGUAGGGGAACCUGCGGCUG